CUACGGGGGGCAGCAGUGGGGAAUAUUGCACAAUGGGCGAAAGCCUGAUGCAGCAACGCCGCGUGAGGGACGACGGCCUUCGGGUUGUAAACCUCUUUUAGCAGGGAAGAAGCGAAAGUGACGGUACCUGCAGAAAAAGCACCGGCUAACUACGUGCCAGCAGCCGCGGUAAUACGUAGGGUGCAAGCGUUGUCCGGAAUUAUUGGGCGUAAAGAGCUCGUAGGCGGUUUGUCGCGUCUGCUGUGAAAAUCCGAGGCUCAACCUCGGACCUGCAGUGGGUACGGGCAAACUAGAGUGCGGUAGGGGAGAUUGGAAUUCCUGGUGUAGCGGUGGAAUGCGCAGAUAUCAGGAGGAACACCAAUGGCGAAGGCAGAUCUCUGGGCCGUAACUGACGCUGAGGAGCGAAAGCGUGGGGAGCGAACAGGAUUAGAUACCCCAGUAGUC
This 444-nucleotide ribosomal RNA is filed under the name uncultured bacterium. Its description in RNAcentral is "partial 16S ribosomal RNA". It matches the Rfam family "Bacterial small subunit ribosomal RNA", at positions 339 to 795 of the family's 1533-position model. The record is from RNAcentral.